AUAGUCUAGUUUUAGGAUGUGCAUAUUAAGUUUAACACUUUUUUGUAUUUCUGGUGCUUAGCAUAAUUAUUUGUAUAUAUUGCUCAGUAAAUGUUGGAUAAUACCAUCUAUUACUUUACUAUUAGACUUCAAAAUUUUAAUUAGCUAGUUUCAGAUUAUUUUAUACACCAGAGAAAUAACCCCCUUGUGUGCACAUGUGUGUUUAACUCUAUUUCAAUUGUUCCAUUAUUAAUACCCUAUAGUGUUUAUUGUUAGUGAUUGUGUAUAUUUUGAGCAACCAGCUCCAAAUAUAUUUUUAAAAGAUAAACACCAAGAGACUGUCAUCAUUUUGCAUCAGUAUUUUUAGGUAUAUCAAAUCAAGAUGAUGCUGAAUAACCUAUUUAACUUAUUUUUGCUACAUUAACGUUAUAAAUGCUCUUGUUUGAUUACUCAAAUUACAUUUACACUUCAGCCCAGCCUUAAUAUGAAUUCAGUUAUUUGGAGUAGAAUUGAUAGCUGAUAAUGAAUGAUCUCAAAGACCCUCUCGGUUACUGUAUUUCAGACUUAAUUUUGAUGAGGUCAUCUUAUUUUUAAUUAGCUUUUCAGGUUCCUACUUAAGGAUUCAUAACUUUCUUCUGAAGAACUGAAAGCACAUUCAUGUGAAUUAUUUUAUUUUUCAAACAUCCUUCCUGUGUGGUAAGUGGUGUUUUCCUUAUUUAGAAGAAAGGGAAACUGAGACCCAAAUAAUUGUUACAUCCAAAGUCCUGAGUAAUAGAACCAGGACUUGAACCCAAAGAGAUAGAAAUUUGUAUUUUUUAUAUAUCAAAGAUAGCUUCCCUUUGCUCACUGUUGCUUUAAAUCUUAGAGUAUUGUUAUGUAGAACAUUGUCCUCUCCUGUCUUUCUCUGGGUACUUUUCACUUUCUCUAGGUGGGAUAUUCAGGAUAUUAUUGCUUUCAGUUUCGAUGACUGUAUUAUUGACAUGGACUUACUCUUUCACAUUGAACUUGUGGGAAACAAAAACCCAACAAUCCCAAAUCCUUACCAUUUAUUUUUCUCCUAAUAGUAAGCUUAGAAAGCCAGAAGGCCCUUCUGUUUAGCCCAGUGAAUUGUAUCUUGACAGUGGUAUGAGGAAGAAACCAGCAAGAGCUAAGUAGCUCUUGCUGAGUCCAGUCAUCAUAGAGUAUCUGUUAAUUCUUAUUUUGAACUUUGUCAGUUCACACAUACAACUUUCAGACUUAAGUUUCUAGGAAACUUAUAUUCCAUGACUAAAUAUAAAACUGUGAUAAUUAUAUGGGUCACUGUACCCUGUUAGUGUGGAUAAUGGAGAAUUGGUUAACUUUUGAUUAGUUUAUUCAUGUUGAAAUUAUGCUAUUAGUACUUGGUUGCAUAUUUAUAUGUGCUUGCAUUUAGAAUCUCAAAUAUUUUCUGUAAAAUUUCUCCUGGAGAGGUUUACACUUUUACUGCAACCUGUGGGGUGAUUAUACAAAUAAGUUAAUGGUUAUACUUUUUAAUUCCUUUGUAGAUUUUAUAAGGAGGAAGGUUCAUCAGGGUUACAGUCACGGUAGGAAAAUGAAAUUCUACUGCAAUUUAUGACUUCCUACAUUUUGUCACUCUAAAAACCUCUUUUUUGUUUUAUUUGUUUUAUUUUUCAUUAUAGAAGUGUUACAUAUUUACUGUUUU
Long non-coding RNA from Phocoena sinus (vaquita), 1660 nucleotides. The record is from Ensembl. NCBI's taxonomy places the organism in Eukaryota, Metazoa, Chordata, Mammalia, Artiodactyla, Phocoenidae.